RNAcentral lists this unclassified non-coding RNA (1061 nucleotides) under uncultured Neocallimastigales. RNAcentral's name for it is "partial contains small subunit ribosomal RNA, internal transcribed spacer 1, 5.8S ribosomal RNA, internal transcribed spacer 2, and large subunit ribosomal RNA". The stretch from base 646 to 1061 matches the Rfam family "Eukaryotic large subunit ribosomal RNA", at positions 1 to 412 of the family's 3401-position model. Lineage: Eukaryota; Fungi; Neocallimastigomycota; Neocallimastigomycetes; Neocallimastigales. The record is from RNAcentral.
UUUCCGUAGGUGAACCUGCGGAAGGAUCAUUAAUAAAUAAAGAUAGAAUGAAAUUGAAUUCUAUCUUAAUAAUAAUCCUACCCUUUGUGAAUUUGUUUGUUUGAAAUAAUUUUUUAAAGAAAAUUAUUUAUAGUUUGUCUAUCCCUAAGGUGAUGAUUGUUGUAAAAGACAGUUUGAAGUCUUAGGGAAUAGGCUUUAUAAAUAAUUUUAUUUAAAGACCUUUUUUUAAAUUAAACUUUUGUAUUCAUUUGUCUAAAUUUAUUUUUAAUAAUUUAAAAACAACUUUUGACAAUGGAUCUCUUGGUUCUCGCAACGAUGAAGAACGCAGCAAAAUGCGAUAAGUAAUGUGAAUUGCAGAAUACGUGAAUCAUCAAAUUUUCGAACGCGUAUUGCACUUUUUUAGUUUACUAAAAAAGUAUGUCUGUUUGAGUAUCAGUAAAAUAUUCUCAUAAAAACUAUUGUUUUUAUGGUUAUGAGUGUUUUACAACGAUAACAAGUUGUUUCACUUUAAAUUGAUUUUUUAAUAGCCAAUUUUGGUUUUAUUAUAAAAUUGGAUAAAAUUUUCCCGUAAAAAGGAAUAAACUUUUCAGUUUUAGAAUAAUUCCCCAAUUGACAAUCAAAAAGGAAAUUUAUAAUAAACUAACUUGAUCUCAAAUCAGAUAAGAGUACCCGCUGAACUUAAGUAUAUCAAUAAGCGGAGGAAAAGAAACUAACAAGGAUUCCCUUAGUAACGGCGAGUGAAGCGGGAAGAGCUCAAAUUUGAAAUCUUCAAGGUUCUACCUUGACGAAUUGUAGUUUAAAGAAGUGUUUUCUGUUAGUGGAGUGGCAAAAGUUCUUUGGAAUAGGACAUCAUAGAGGGUGAGAAUCCCGUAUUUGGUCAUUCCUUCUAGCUUUGUGAUACACUUUCAAAGAGUCGGAUUGUUUGGGAAUGCAGUCCAAAAUGGGUGGUAAAUUUCAUCUAAAGCUAAAUAUUGGCGAGAGACCGAUAGCGAACAAGUACCGUGAGGGAAAGAUGAAAAGAACUUUGAAAAGAGAGUUAAACAGUACGUGAAAUUGUCAAA